UGUAAACCAGGUUAACAAGGAAAUAAAGGUGCACUUGUUGGUGGCUGUUUGGUACAGAGGUAUCUUUACUUUUGGAUUCUUAACUUGAUGUAUUUCAUCUUUUUGGUUUUUAGUUUUUAAACCUUUCAAUUUUAUUUAACUUUUCACUUGGAAUCAAUCCUUUGAACCGAUUAAAAGGCAACAGGAUAAAUUAACCUUACACAGUUUAGUUAACCUGUCAGUGGAUAGUUUUCGGAGAUCCUUCAAAACAACAAAAAUACCAACAGGCUGAGACAUUUAUGACACUCAACGUGUUGGAUCAGCAGACCUGGACAACAUGGAAAUACCUGCUGUAACUGCGUUGGCUUUGCUGUUUGUCGGCGUCUUCACAUUUGUCACUGCAGGCAUCAUGAGGUCUGGUGGCAUCUGUGUGGAUGUAAGUGCUUGGUCAAGUGCAGCUUUUACCACAGAGACAAAGAUGUCUGCGUCAGUGUGAUGUAGUUUCAGGGGUCAGUAUACAGCUACAAAGCUUUUUCUUCAUGUUCUACAGUAUAAAUUUAACCUGUGCAGUUGCA
This is a long non-coding RNA of Astatotilapia calliptera (eastern happy), 554 nucleotides long. Lineage: Eukaryota; Metazoa; Chordata; Actinopteri; Cichliformes; Cichlidae. The record is from Ensembl.